RNAcentral lists this ribosomal RNA (2931 nucleotides) under Escherichia coli. RNAcentral's name for it is "23S ribosomal RNA". It matches the Rfam family "Bacterial large subunit ribosomal RNA". Lineage: Bacteria; Pseudomonadati; Pseudomonadota; Gammaproteobacteria; Enterobacterales; Enterobacteriaceae. The record is from RNAcentral.
GGGUUGUGAGGUUAAGCGACUAAGCGUACACGGUGGAUGCCCUGGCAGUCAGAGGCGAUGAAGGACGUGCUAAUCUGCGAUAAGCGUCGGUAAGGUGAUAUGAACCGUUAUAACCGGCGAUUUCCGAAUGGGGAAACCCAGUGUGAUUCGUCACACUAUCAUUAACUGAAUCCAUAGGUUAAUGAGGCGAACCGGGGGAACUGAAACAUCUAAGUACCCCGAGGAAAAGAAAUCAACCGAGAUUCCCCCAGUAGCGGCGAGCGAACGGGGAGCAGCCCAGAGCCUGAAUCAGUGUGUGUGUUAGUGGAAGCGUCUGGAAAGGCGUGCGAUACAGGGUGACAGCCCCGUACACAAAAAUGCACAUACUGUGAGCUCGAUGAGUAGGGCGGGACACGUGGUAUCCUGUCUGAAUAUGGGGGGACCAUCCUCCAAGGCUAAAUACUCCUGACUGACCGAUAGUGAACCAGUACCGUGAGGGAAAGGCGAAAAGAACCCCGGCGAGGGGAGUGAAAAAGAACCUGAAACCGUGUACGUACAAGCAGUGGGAGCACGCUUAGGCGUGUGACUGCGUACCUUUUGUAUAAUGGGUCAGCGACUUAUAUUCUGUAGCAAGGUUAACCGAAUAGGGGAGCCGAAGGGAAACCGAGUCUUAACUGGGCGUUAAGUUGCAGGGUAUAGACCCGAAACCCGGUGAUCUAGCCAUGGGCAGGUUGAAGGUUGGGUAACACUAACUGGAGGACCGAACCGACUAAUGUUGAAAAAUUAGCGGAUGACUUGUGGCUGGGGGUGAAAGGCCAAUCAAACCGGGAGAUAGCUGGUUCUCCCCGAAAGCUAUUUAGGUAGCGCCUCGUGAAUUCAUCUCCGGGGGUAGAGCACUGUUUCGGCAAGGGGGUCAUCCCGACUUACCAACCCGAUGCAAACUGCGAAUACCGGAGAAUGUUAUCACGGGAGACACACGGCGGGUGCUAACGUCCGUCGUGAAGAGGGAAACAACCCAGACCGCCAGCUAAGGUCCCAAAGUCAUGGUUAAGUGGGAAACGAUGUGGGAAGGCCCAGACAGCCAGGAUGUUGGCUUAGAAGCAGCCAUCAUUUAAAGAAAGCGUAAUAGCUCACUGGUCGAGUCGGCCUGCGCGGAAGAUGUAACGGGGCUAAACCAUGCACCGAAGCUGCGGCAGCGACGCUUAUGCGUUGUUGGGUAGGGGAGCGUUCUGUAAGCCUGCGAAGGUGUGCUGUGAGGCAUGCUGGAGGUAUCAGAAGUGCGAAUGCUGACAUAAGUAACGAUAAAGCGGGUGAAAAGCCCGCUCGCCGGAAGACCAAGGGUUCCUGUCCAACGUUAAUCGGGGCAGGGUGAGUCGACCCCUAAGGCGAGGCCGAAAGGCGUAGUCGAUGGGAAACAGGUUAAUAUUCCUGUACUUGGUGUUACUGCGAAGGGGGGACGGAGAAGGCUAUGUUGGCCGGGCGACGGUUGUCCCGGUUUAAGCGUGUAGGCUGGUUUUCCAGGCAAAUCCGGAAAACUAAGGCUGAGGCGUGAUGACGAGGCACUACGGUGCUGAAGCAACAAAUGCCCUGCUUCCAGGAAAAGCCUCUAAGCAUCAGGUAACAUCAAAUCGUACCCCAAACCGACACAGGUGGUCAGGUAGAGAAUACCAAGGCGCUUGAGAGAACUCGGGUGAAGGAACUAGGCAAAAUGGUGCCGUAACUUCGGGAGAAGGCACGCUGAUAUGUAGGUGAAGUCCCUCGCGGAUGGAGCUGAAAUCAGUCGAAGAUACCAGCUGGCUGCAACUGUUUAUUAAAAACACAGCACUGUGCAAACACGAAAGUGGACGUAUACGGUGUGACGCCUGCCCGGUGCCGGAAGGUUAAUUGAUGGGGUUAGCGCAAGCGAAGCUCUUGAUCGAAGCCCCGGUAAACGGCGGCCGUAACUAUAACGGUCCUAAGGUAGCGAAAUUCCUUGUCGGGUAAGUUCCGACCUGCACGAAUGGCGUAAUGAUGGCCAGGCUGUCUCCACCCGAGACUCAGUGAAAUUGAACUCGCUGUGAAGAUGCAGUGUACCCGCGGCAAGACGGAAAGACCCCGUGAACCUUUACUAUAGCUUGACACUGAACAUUGAGCCUUGAUGUGUAGGAUAGGUGGGAGGCUUGGAAGUGUGGACGCCAGUCUGCAUGGAGCCGACCUUGAAAUACCACCCUUUAAUGUUUGAUGUUCUAACGUUGACCCGUAAUCCGGGUUGCGGACAGUGUCUGGUGGGUAGUUUGACUGGGGCGGUCUCCUCCUAAAGAGUAACGGAGGAGCACGAAGGUUGGCUAAUCCUGGUCGGACAUCAGGAGGUUAGUGCAAUGGCAUAAGCCAGCUUGACUGCGAGCGUGACGGCGCGAGCAGGUGCGAAAGCAGGUCAUAGUGAUCCGGUGGUUCUGAAUGGAAGGGCCAUCGCUCAACGGAUAAAAGGUACUCCGGGGAUAACAGGCUGAUACCGCCCAAGAGUUCAUAUCGACGGCGGUGUUUGGCACCUCGAUGUCGGCUCAUCACAUCCUGGGGCUGAAGUAGGUCCCAAGGGUAUGGCUGUUCGCCAUUUAAAGUGGUACGCGAGCUGGGUUUAGAACGUCGUGAGACAGUUCGGUCCCUAUCUGCCGUGGGCGCUGGAGAACUGAGGGGGGCUGCUCCUAGUACGAGAGGACCGGAGUGGACGCAUCACUGGUGUUCGGGUUGUCAUGCCAAUGGCACUGCCCGGUAGCUAAAUGCGGAAGAGAUAAGUGCUGAAAGCAUCUAAGCACGAAACUUGCCCCGAGAUGAGUUCUCCCUGACUCCUUGAGAGUCCUGAAGGAACGUUGAAGACGACGACGUUGAUAGGCCGGGUGUGUAAGCGCAGCGAUGCGUUGAGCUAACCGGUACUAAUGAACCGUGAGGCUUAACCUUACAACGCCGAAGGUGUUU